Long non-coding RNA from Rhincodon typus (whale shark), 923 nucleotides. RefSeq lists it as uncharacterized. NCBI's taxonomy places the organism in Eukaryota, Metazoa, Chordata, Chondrichthyes, Orectolobiformes, Rhincodontidae. The transcript is spliced from 3 exons. The record is from RefSeq and is a predicted model, not a curated record.
GUUUGGAAUACUUGGGGAGUAUUCUCUGAUGUUGAUACAUCUUUCAUUCGUGUUGUAAGUUAAGGCCUAUUUUGGCUCUAUUGGGCGCUACUUCAAUUGUGGAAGUUUAUUUUUGGUUCCUCCUGAUUGGUGGCGUCCCGUGUCAAUCACGUGGGGAGCUUUCUUUUGCAACAGAACCUCUCUUUAGUUAACUAGCAGAAACAAGGGAGCCAUCGGGUAUAACUUCCGCUGCAAACUAAACUGAAGGGGUAAUGUCACCGGUGAUCCAGAUGCCGAGGCUGAAGCUUGAGGAGAGUGGGGCACAGACACAGGCUCACAGAAAAUCUACCUACAGUAGAUGUGCGUGAGAAACCACCUGUAUUUGGUCAAGUAACUCUGCAGCAUUUUCCAAGCAGCAACUUACUGGUCGGUCUGUGAACUUUGGACAAGGGCCUGGAAAGUGCUUUCACAUCUUUCGUGGGCCACAAUCUGUGGGUCAAACCUGGAGCAGAGGAUUACUGUUUACUUGGUGUUAUCUCUGUCACUGACUGAGAAUUCCCCUUCGGAAGACAAAGGAUUAAACUGUCGCUUUGGAGCGUGUGUGUCAGCUCAUCAUCUGUUAUCAAAAUCAAGUCAACUGUAUUUAUUUGAUCACCAGACUGUUUUGCUGUCUAAACAACUUAAGUUAAAGUGGCUUGUACUGCUCAUUCUUGCUGUCAGAAUUUGCUACUUCUGUUAAAAUUUUGAUUUUUGUCAGUUAAAGAUUCUUUAAUGACGAAAGGAAAGGAAAACCUUUCCAUCAGUCCUGUACAUUCUUGGAUUUCCUUCCUGUUUACAGUGUGAAACAAUUCUCUUUUACCAACAUAGAUCAACUCAAUAGGUUAUUUUGUAUUUUUUGAAUGAAGCCAGGAGGCCCAAUGAAAUCUUCUACUGUUUGCCCCUUU